AUAGGAUAGAGUUAUCAUCAUGUCUAACUGCACGUGACAGUAUGUCAUCUCGGGUGACAUAAUCUACAUCAUUUUAUAAACAAAUAAUUAAGUCUGGGAGCCGUUUCAUAAAGCUGUUCGUAUGUUCAGAGUGACUUUACGAGCGACCGGUGAUCCUUUCUUGUGUAAGUGACAUUCACCAUUAAAUGUUUAUUGGUGAUUAUUUAGCGCGUUGGAAAGGUUCACCAGUAAGUUAUUCUUAAAGUUGCUCUUAACUUACGAACAGCAUUAUGAAAGACCCAACAGGCCUAGUUUACCAUGUAAUGUUUAUUAACGCCUUUUCACCUUUAAUCAGAUUUCCAAUACAACUUUUCAAAUAGAAACCAAAAAUGUAAAACGUAAAAUAUAAUAUACACAGAUAAUUGAUAUUUUGGUAUACAAUAUACGAAAAUCGUAGAUAGGUACAAUAUUUAAUUGAAUAUAAUUUAAUCAAUAUAAACGAGGAAUAAUCUGAAUAAAGUUUUUACUUCAGGUCUUCCUAUGUACUACUUGAAACGUCGCCCUCUAUUGUCCAAUAUGACAUGCGUUGGGACCAUGUCAAUCAAAUUUCCAACUACAUACUCCCCUCUUUUUAUGUUUCCCUUUCUACUUUUGUGUUUUUCCAACGUUUUUUUUUAUUUUUAUUGUAAUAUACUUUUGUCAACCAUGUUAUAGUCAUACACCCAUUAAAAUAUCACCAUCCAAUUGGGAAACUCAUUUUCAUUGGCUAUAAUUGAUUUAAAAAGUUCAGUCUGCUGUGAAGUCCUUAUAUCAAGUCAAUCAUUUAGCAUUUUCUUUCACUUACCUUCUUUAAUUCCUUAAUAUUGAUUUUUGUAUCAAAAAAAGUUAGCUUAUAUUCCUAGAAAAUUAAUCGCCGCAAUAUUUAUGGAAAAUUCUUUUUGGAAUGGAGCUGUUGGGAAAUGUUCGCAUAACAUUAUUUGGUUGUUUGUUUUGUUUUGGGUUGCACCGAUGAAUUAUAAAUUAUAAAUGUCGGUACCUCAUUACCUACAGUGAAGUGACGAGGUGACAUAAUCUAAUUAUGAAUUAUGGUGUGAAAGGAGUACUUUCGUGCUUAAGAAUAGCCCUCCCCCUUUUUUAAAAUCAUUUUAACAUUACAUUGAUCAUUUGCUGUGAUAUAAAUUAACUUAACUGUAGUAAGUAUGAUAUAAUUGACUUGACUGAGGUUAAUGUAACAAGACUAGUAAAUGCAUGUAUACUUAAAACUGUGAAAGCUAUAGCCUAUCAAAUGGGCUUCGGGGAUAGCCCACAAUUAGCUCUAAAAAGUUACGAAUACUUUGAACAGUUUUGAAAAAGUAAUUACAACAUUCUUUUUACAUUGAGACAUAAUCUAUCAUGAUAAAAUAAUGAAGGCCUGUGGUGUUUAACUUUCCAUAAAAUUAUGUCAUUGCAAAACAUUUUUAUCGAGUUUAUUGCAUUUUUUUUGUCGGGAAUCAUGACACAACCCCUUUAGACUCUAAUUGGCCAACACGAUUGCUUUCUCCUGUUUCAUAUAUUUUAGAAUAAUAAUCAUGUCUACCAUACCCAGUUAGAAUUUACAAAAACUUGAUCACCCUGGUCCCCAUAAAAAUCUGAUUUCAGAUGCCUUUGUUGAAAAAUGGCGCGUACAGUAGCCUUGUCAACUUACGACAUCAUUCAAUGAUUAACUGCAAUCGAAUCCAACGGAAUCUCAUAUCUCUUGUUCCGCUAAUGUAAAUAAACCAAUUGAAAUAGAUGCUGUGAGAUCGAUAGAUCUAGUUCAGUUGCGCUGCGCUGAUAGCCUCACUCUGGGCUGAGCAGUUCCUCAGGUCUUUGUUAGCCGAAUAAAAAAAACGCUCAUGUGUCUUGGACUUUGGAGAGAGCAAUCAAGGAACUUCCAUGGACUAUAAUCCUGGGACAUCGGCUGACGGUUCACCUGAAACUUUCUUCUUCUUUUUCUUUGCAUCUCUUGCAAAAUUUGCAAUGUUCAGUUGAGAUCCUUUGUCUACGUAUCUUCGCGGAAAAUAACAGGUCUUUUAGAGAAGAUCCUAUUAAGAACUGUUGCGAGAGAAUCAUUAUUCCAGACAUCAAAUUAUCUGUAGUUGGUAUUACUGGUGUUUUCCUGUCACGUCUUGUUCAAUCCACAGUAAAUAUUUGCUGAAAACCCCUGUCGAAAAUUCCCAACUUUUUAGCGACUAACCGAGUAAGAACUCAGUUGCGAGAUUAAAAUCGUCCCCGACACCACAUGAUUGUAUUCUGUUGUUUUGCUGUGUAUGCCUCAUCUCAUUCUCCACCAUGGAUUGGCAGCAAUGUCAUCGACCACGGUCGAUGUCCACACCGUACCCUCAAUUCUGCCCACCUGUCAACGACCCUGCAGAUUUUUCUUUCAAGAUAAUUGUCAUAGGAGACUCUUGCGUCGGCAAAACAAGUUUCAUCAAUAUGUUCUGUGAACAUGUCUUUAAAGAUAAUCACACAGGAACAAUAGGAAUGGAUCUCAACAAAAGGAUCAUUGAUAUUGAUGGGAAGAAAAUCAGAUUGCAUGUUUGGGAUACUGCUGGUCAAGAAAGAUUUCGAACCCUUACUACAGCUUAUUAUCGGGGUGCAACGGGCAUUAUCAUUCUAUACGAUGUAACGAGGGAAAGUUCAUUUGAUAAUGUGACUAAAUGGCUUGACGAUGUUUCACGUAAUGUUUGUUCAGAUACAUGCAAAGUUCUGGUUGGAAAUAAGAGUGACUGCACCCGAGUCGAGAGAGUGCCCAUUAAACGGGCUGUAAAGUUGUCAGAAUCGUUUGACUUCCCUUACAUCGAGGCAAGUGCGAAGACUGGUGAGAACGUUGAAAAGGUGUUUGAGACUAUUACAAGACAGAUGAUAGAGAGGUAUAACAAAAAGAUUAAUACAAAUCGACCUCUUCCACCGCGCCCAACGACAACGGAGAAAAUUGAACUACUUGCCAAGAAAAAGAGCGCGUUUUCUGUGUGUUCUUGUUGAAAAUAUAGAGGAUUAGUGAAAUCUAUAAGUUAUUUAUCGGAACUUUCUGCUGGAAAUAGAAUCCUUAACCGGAAAGAUGACGAAAGGUAAUGAAAGAUGAUGACUUCUCUUUCGAAACGUUAACGUUGACGGUCAGAAUCUGGAACCUCUGUUUUGCCUAUAUACUGUUUGCGAAGACUCAAAGACUUUUCUUAUGGAACACUUGCGCUGGGGGUCGUCAUCUGGACUCUCUGUUUUUUGGAUGUACAAUAUUGAUAUCUUUACGUCUUAAACAACAUUUCAUUAAUAGAAAUCAUUGAUUGCUUAUCAUAUAAACGGGAUCGUUACUUGCCAACCAGUUUUGUUCAAAAGGUUACCCUUCCCGUCAUAACCAAUAACUAAUGUCACCACUAAUGUAUAUCGUUCUGCUAUGGCAUAACCACUUCUUUUAAAGUCAAGAUUGUUUGAGAUAUUCUGAGUUUUAUUUCCCCUUUAAAUUCACGUUUGAAAAUGUAAAUAAAGUCUCUUUAGAAGUAGCACGAGUUGACUAUAUUGUUUUACAACUUGGUUCAGCGUGACUAUUAGACAAUAAUUUCUUUCAAGGAAUUGAUAAAAUUGUUUGCACAGCAUUGCAUUUAAUUCAUUCCCCUUAUAUAUCAGGAAAAACCUAUCAAACUUUUAAAUUGAGUAACAGAUACGUGUAUAUUCAAAGUCCGAUUUUUGUUCUUUUGUUGAUUAUAGGAUGAAUUUCUUCAAACUCUAUAAUUAUGAUUUUAAUUUUUGUUAUUGAAAGUGAUGUGUAUUUAUUGGUUAUGUAGUAAAUACGCAAUAUUGUCUUGUGUAAAUAAUUAUGUAUAUUUUUUCAUACUAAUGUGCAAUAUUUUUUUUCCUGUAUAUAUGUAUAUAGAAAGAGGGAGAGUAAAAAGGAUUUUUAAAAUGUUUCUUUGCAACUUUUGAUAAGAGGAAAAGUUAGGUAAUUGGUAAAGUAAUUUUGUAAUCAAAUUUUACAGAAUUUUGCAGAAUCAUAUGCUGUUUAUGAUUAUUUCUUUGUAUCAUCUGUGAAUGAUUAAAAGUGAAACCAUGAUUUUAAAUUAUUAAGCAAAAUCAAUUAUAUAGAAACUCGAAGCGGCUGUCUAAAAUCUAUAUUUAAAUGAGACACGACGAUUCAAUGUAUAUAAUUCUUCAGUACUCAGAAACACAACGGAAAACCUAUACUCACGUGUUCUCGGUUUGUUUUGAAAUGUGGGUUUUCAAUUCAAACUUAUUAGAUUUUAUAUCAUUUAUUGGUCUGGAACAUAUAACAACUCGAUAGAUAAAUUAAGUGUAUAAUCACUUCGAUCAAACCUCUUCCCAUGCAAAUUGAAUUCAGUAUUCAUAACCAGUGACUCGUUCAUGAUGCACAAACAACUGAACUUUACGAAGCAGAAUGAGAAUCUAAUUAAUAUAUUGGUCGUUGGUCCUUUAAACACUGUUUUCAAUUAAUUUCAAUUAAGGAAUUACAAGUUUUCAUGCUUUCAAUUACGAUAGUACUUAAGCCUAAUUGGUAGGAUCUUCCAACAUACUCCGUAAAAAGUGUCUACACUGAAGAUUUGCUGCCAUUUGGGGCAAUGGGUUUGAAUAAUUGUUGAUAUUUUUUCUGGAGUUACGACAUUUAUGAAUGCAAACUGUGAGACGCCAUUAAAUAAAUAUUUCGUAUGCAACAAACGACUAUAUACAUGUACAUGCAUUUUUUAAGAUAUAGGAGAUCAUACAUGCUUAAGAUUGCAGAGUUUUGUCUAUUAAGAGUGACCUCACCCCUCGAGUUAUACGAUGACCAAAUGGAAUUAUAAAACGACUAGGUUUUAACUGUAGAUACAAGAUCAUCUGAUCCCACAUCUGAAAAAAUCACACCCCUUCCCCCUUAUUACAAUAUUGUCGUUUCUCGUUCAAAGGAAUUAUUUUGCAGCAUUUCAUGUAACUAAUUAGCAGCUAAAUAAAACAUUUCCCAUUGUCAAAGAUCAUGUUACCUUUGUACCUUUAUAUCAAUUUGUAUAUUCUAAUAAUUGUAUUUAUUGUAUUCCACAGUCAUUGAGGCAAAUAAAACUAUAACGCACUUGAAAAAAUAUUAAAACCAAAUGUGUUUAAGAAA
RNA transcript from Lytechinus pictus (painted urchin), 5089 nucleotides. It is a transcript of the gene named ras-related protein Rab-8B-like, with no coding region annotated. The transcript is spliced from 8 exons. The record is from RefSeq and is a predicted model, not a curated record. Lineage: Eukaryota; Metazoa; Echinodermata; Echinoidea; Temnopleuroida; Toxopneustidae.